Molecule: ribosomal RNA, 506 nt
Filed under: uncultured bacterium
Lineage: Bacteria
Description: partial 16S ribosomal RNA
Rfam family: Bacterial small subunit ribosomal RNA
Source: RNAcentral
AGUGAACGCUGGCGGUAGGCCUAACACAUGCAAGUCGAACGGCAGCACAGGAGAGCUUGCUCUCUGGGUGGCGAGUGGCGGACGGGUGAGGAAUACAUCGGAAUCUACUCUGUCGUGGGGGAUAACGUAGGGAAACUUACGCUAAUACCGCAUACGACCUACGGGUGAAAGCAGGGGACCUUCGGGCCUUGCGCGAUUGAAUGAGCCGAUGUCGGAUUAGCUAGUUGGCGGGGUAAAGGCCCACCAAGGCGACGAUCUGUAGCUGGUCUGAGAGGAUGAUCAGCCACACUGGAACUGAGACACGGUCCAGACUCCUACGGGAGGCAGCAGUGGGGAAUAUUGGACAAUGGGCGCAGGCCUGAUCCAGCCAUACCGCGUGGGUGAAGAAGGCCUUCGGGUUGGAAAGCCCUUUUGUUGGGAAAGAAAUCCAGCUGGCUAAUACCCGGUUGGGAUGACGGUACCCAAAGAAUAAGCACCGGCUAACUUCGUGCCAGCAGCCGCAGUAA